UUGUAAGAACGAACAAUGAAUAACUCAUAUAAAGUUCUAGGCAUAAAAGGAAUAAUGACUAAUUUUUUGUCUAUAAGUAUUGACCAAAUUACGUGCCAGCCGUCGCGGUAAUACGUAAAAUACAAGUGUUAUUCAUCUUUAAUGGGUUUAAAGGGUACCUAGACAGAAAAUAAAGCCAUAAUAGGGACUAAUUUUCUAGAGUUUUAUAUAAGAAAGAAGAAUUGUUAGAGGAGAGAUGAAAUGCGUUAAUACUAACAAGACUGGUAACAGCGAAGGCAUUUUUCUAUGUAAAAACUGACGUUGAGGGACGAAGCCUAGGGGAACGAUAAGGAUUAGAUACCCUAAUAGUCCUAGGAGAAAAUUAUGAAUGCCAUAGGCAAGAAUUUUUUUGCCUAUAAAUGAAAGUGCAAGCAUUUCACCUUACAAGUAAAGCGGCAACGCCGAAACUGAAAUCAUUAGACCGUUACUGAAAACAGUAGUGAAGUAUGUUAUUUAAUUCGAUGGUCCGCGAAUAACCUUACCACAAUUUGAAUAUUAUUAAAUUAUUACAAGUGCUGCACGGCUGUCUUCAGCUUAUGUCGUGAGAUUCUGGUUAGAUCCUUUAAUAAGCGAAAACCCUUACUUUAUUUAAAUAAAUUUAUCUAUAAAGUACUUUGCCAAUUUAACAAAAAAAUUAGUAAGGUAAAAGGGAUUAAGACAAGUCAUCAUGGCCUUAAUAUUGUGGGCUAUAGGACGUGCCACAUUUGCCUUUACAAAGGGAUGCGAUAUUGUGAAA
This 775-nucleotide ribosomal RNA is filed under the name Pyrenula sp. F 19113-n. RNAcentral's name for it is "SSU rRNA". It matches the Rfam family "Bacterial small subunit ribosomal RNA", at positions 397 to 1262 of the family's 1533-position model. Lineage: Eukaryota; Fungi; Ascomycota; Eurotiomycetes; Pyrenulales; Pyrenulaceae. The record is from RNAcentral.